Prunus persica (peach) is the source of this 1317-nucleotide long non-coding RNA. RefSeq lists it as uncharacterized. NCBI's taxonomy places the organism in Eukaryota, Viridiplantae, Streptophyta, Magnoliopsida, Rosales, Rosaceae. The record is from RefSeq and is a predicted model, not a curated record. The transcript is spliced from 3 exons.
UGUUAUCAAAUAAAUAAAAAAAUAAAGAAUUAACUAUAGUUAAACCCAUGAACAUGUAUCAACUUUUGAGAGGAGUGGUGGUGAGGGUAUACCUAGGGUUAAGAUGGUGAGCAAAAAUGCACCCAUUUUAUUUAUAAAAUGCACCCAUUUUAUUUAUAAAGAAAACAUUAAAUUUUAACCGAGUUUCUCUCUUCCGCCUCUCUCUUCUCCUUCAACGAGUUUCUCUUCCCUCGACCCGCUUCCGUCCGGUGAGAGGUGUCUCAUCCUUCUCCUAUAUUCUCCCUCUUUCUCCUCCACCUCCACCUGCUCAGAGAUCCCACUGCCGCGACGAAAACCAGGAUAACAGAGGCGAAACCCUCGCAGGUGGGUUUCAGAUUCUGAAGAUUUGAGCUUCAGACUCAGAGACGCUGAAGAUGAUUAUGAGGAUGUGGAGACCUGCUUCUACUUAUCCCAACCUACGCAGACACAGAGGAGGACAACCUAAUGUCAGGACAUUUACGGUAAUGAUUAGUGGACUUUGUAGCAAGGGCCGAAUUAAUGAAGCGGAAAACUUACUUACACUAAUGAAGGAGAGGGGUUGUUCUCCAAAUGGUUGCACCUACAACACAAUUAUUCGAGGGUGUAUCAAUAAUAAAGAGACAUCAAGGGCGAUCAGACUAGUUCAAGAAAUGGCAGACAUGGGUUUCGCUGCAGAUAAUUCAACCAUGAAAUGGGUAGUUGAUUUAUUGUCCAAGGAUAAACUAGAUCCUGAAUUGGUUAAACGUAUUUGGUAUUUUAAAUUAUUUUACACAGUUCUUAAACGUAAGAAUCACUCCAUAUAAAAGCUAGCUGUGCUUCAGAAACUUCUUUUCCUUCAUCUUUUUUGGGUGAAAUUGGGGGUGACUUUUCCUUCAUUUUUCCUAUUAAAGUUGUGUACUGUGCUUUAGCAAUCUUACAAGUGCCUUGGGCUAUCCUACCUAUUCAAUUGAUUUUGAGAUGGAUGCCUAAAUUCUUCUUAUAGGAUCAGAGCAUGUUCGCCCACGAUUGUUAGGCCGAGAGGCCACACGUACUUUCAUCCGAUAUAAGUUGUCCAUGUGUUUGGCUCAUAAAAGGACUUCCGUCUACGAGAUAUGAGUAUGAAGAAUGGUAUGGCGAGGCACAUAGAACACCAGAAUAUCAGGUAAGGUAAUUUAUUCUGCAUAUCUAGGCUUCUAUGGAAAUAUUCAGUCCACCAAGCAUUACUCUUGGUAUCUGAAUGUUAACUUCCAACUUUCAACAAAAACUCUGGCCUGCUUAAUUUGUUGUUAUGAAGUUCGCUUUCAAUUUGCAGCAAAUGUA